RNAcentral lists this ribosomal RNA (465 nucleotides) under uncultured Klebsiella sp. Its description in RNAcentral is "bacterial SSU rRNA". It matches the Rfam family "Bacterial small subunit ribosomal RNA", at positions 338 to 795 of the family's 1533-position model. The record is from RNAcentral. Lineage: Bacteria; Pseudomonadati; Pseudomonadota; Gammaproteobacteria; Enterobacterales; Enterobacteriaceae.
CCUACGGGUGGCUGCAGUGGGGAAUAUUGCGCAAUGGGCGCAAGCCUGAUGCAGCCAUGCCGCGUGUGUGAAGAAGGCCUUCGGGUUGUAAAGCACUUUCAGCGGGGAGGAAGGCGGUGAGGUUAAUAACCUCAUCGAUUGACGUUACCCGCAGAAGAAGCACCGGCUAACUCCGUGCCAGCAGCCGCGGUAAUACGGAGGGUGCAAGCGUUAAUCGGAAUUACUGGGCGUAAAGCGCACGCAGGCGGUCUGUCAAGUCGGAUGUGAAAUCCCCGGGCUCAACCUGGGAACUGCAUUCGAAACUGGCAGGCUAGAGUCUUGUAGAGGGGGGUAGAAUUCCAGGUGUAGCGGUGAAAUGCGUAGAGAUCUGGAGGAAUACCGGUGGCGAAGGCGGCCCCCUGGACAAAGACUGACGCUCAGGUGCGAAAGCGUGGGGAGCAAACAGGAUUAGAUACCCGGGUAGUC